GCUCCAUACAACUCUUUACCAGAAGCCCAGCUGCUUUACCAGGCUCUUGCCUCUCAGCCAGAAGCAACAGAAAACAGACACCCAGGCUUCUCACCUCUCAGAGUAGCUGGACAGGUGUAUCCCCACUAGCGUGAGGAGCUAGAACCAACCUAGAUGUUGCUACCCAGCUUUCUUGUCAAUUUCACAAUUCUAACAUGAAGCCAUGAAAUUGACAAAACAUCCAGUGUAUAUAAUGCAGUGUCUACACAGAUAGUGAAUCUCCCUAACUUCACUGACAUAAGCACUGCACUUCUUGUCCAAGUGGAGUUAUAUCCACGUAGCAUAACAUUUACAUUGGCAGGACAUGGGUAUACUGUGUAGUGUACAGGCAUAAUUUUGUCACAAUGACCUAACUGUGACGUGUAGAUCAGACCAUACUUAAACCAAACCUAAGCCCCUGGUACAGACGCUGCUUGAUCAUCACAAGAAUUCUAUCCCCUUUCAAGGGGAUGGAUUUACUACAGUGAAAGAAAAACCCUUCUGUCACUGUAGCAAGUAGCUACACUACAGUACUACGGCACAGCAUUUGAAGAUUUAGGUUCUACAAAGUAUCACAGAAAUCCAGACUCAACUCUUGGCAGCAUGGAACCCUCAUAAUAAGACUGAAGAAUUCAUCUUUCCAUCACUGUUUCAACUAUAACCAUCUCCCAGCUGUUCAGUGACUUGAGGUGCCUACCCAUCACAAGAACCAACACUGCAAAUGGACAGCAGGAGCCUCUUUGCACCUUAUCAUUAUGUGUGAAGGAGAAUUUCAGCCUGUUUGCAGGCGCUGCGGGAAAGCUGGCAGUCAAUUAUGCAUAGCUGUGUCACUAGCAAACGUUAUGUGACUACAUCCUGGGAAUAAUCCUUAAGGGAUCACCCAUCAAAGACAUCUGCAGGGGAGGAGGUGGGUUCUUCUGCCAGCACUUGAAGGGAAGGAGUGAAACGGGAAUGCAAGAUAAUCAAUGAAUAUGCAGACUUGGUGAACAGGCAACCAAAUGUUUGGAGUAUUUUGUGAUUUAUUUGCUAUUUCACUGUCAAAGACCUCAAGCGUUUUACAAGAGGGCAGAAAUCAUCUCACCAAAAUCAUAUUAAGCAAGUGAGGCACCUUAGGACUUUGCCUAGUGACACUUUGUCGAAAGGGAAGGGAGGGUGGUAGGUGUACUGUCUUGUAGAGAAAACUCUGGAAAUCCUGCACACCCGUCAUAUUGGCCCCUAAAAACAGAUCCAGCUGCUUUGAGAAACAAGAAGAAAAUGGUGGAGCUGGGGGGAUGGUAUCUCGCUGGAACGACACCAUACACCUAGGGCUCGCCAUCUCCACAGCAGAAGCUUUUAAAGGCGGGCACCUAGGGAACAUCUGCCACCUUCUAACACUCCGCACUCUAGGGGCUUGUGAAACUACUGCCCCAUACACCGAGUCCGUGGCUGCAGCUCCCUGCAGGAAAGCCAGGGCAGCAGUGCAGGGCGCUGCAAUUUGUUAGCGCUGCCCCCUGGGCCUUCAAAGGGAGCAAUAAAAGCCCCAAGAAAAGAAAGGCAAUGGGCACUGAUCCCAGAGAUGUAACACGCUCUCCUCUUACCUUACCGCC
Non-coding RNA from Pelodiscus sinensis (Chinese soft-shelled turtle), 1604 nucleotides. Lineage: Eukaryota; Metazoa; Chordata; Testudines; Trionychidae. The record is from RefSeq and is a predicted model, not a curated record.